RNAcentral lists this ribosomal RNA (474 nucleotides) under uncultured bacterium. RNAcentral describes it as "bacterial SSU rRNA". It matches the Rfam family "Bacterial small subunit ribosomal RNA", at positions 29 to 521 of the family's 1533-position model. The record is from RNAcentral.
AAUGAACGUUGGCGGCGUGGAUUAGGCAUGCAAGUCGAGCGCUCAUAGCAAUAUGGGAGCGGCGAACGGCGUAGGAAUUCAUAGGAACGUACCCUCAGGACGGGGAUAGCUACGGGAAACUGUAGGUAAUACCCGAUGAUCUCCGCGGAGCAAAGGUGUGAUUCCGCCUGAGGAGCGGCUUAUGCGAUAUUAGCUAGUUGGUGGGGUAAUGGCCUACCAAGGCGACGAUGUCUAGGGGGUGUGAGAGCAUGGCCCCCACGACCGGAACUGAGAUACUGUCCGGACACCUACGGGUGGCUGCAGUCGAGAAUCUUCCGCAAUGGACGAAAGUCUGACGGAGCGACGCCGCGUGCGGGAUGAAGGCCCUUGGGUUGUAAACCGCUUUCGGAGGGGAUGAAAUCCUCGAGGGUUCUCCCUCGAGGUUGACAGAGCCUCAAAAGAAGCACGGGCUAAGUACGUGCCAGCAGCCGCGGU